GAUGAAGAACGUAGCAAAAUGCGAUAAGUAAUGUGAAUUGCAGAAUUCAGUGAAUCAUCGAAUCUUUGAACGCACAUUGCGCCCGCUGGUAUUCCGCCGGGCAUGCCUGUUCGAGCGUCAUUUCAACCCUCAAGCCCCCGGGUUUGGUGUUGGGGAUCGGCUCUGCCCUUCUGGGCGGUGCCGCCCCCGAAAUACAUUGGCGGUCUCGCUGCAGCCUCCAUUGCGUAGUAGCUAACACCUCGCAACUGGAACGCGGCGCGGCCAUGCCGUAAAACCCCAACUUCUGAAUGUUGACCUCGGAUCAGGUAGGAAUACCCGCUGAACUUAAGCAUAUCAAUAAGCGGAGGA
This 348-nucleotide unclassified non-coding RNA is filed under the name soil metagenome. Its description in RNAcentral is "partial contains 5.8S ribosomal RNA, internal transcribed spacer 2, and large subunit ribosomal RNA". The stretch from base 1 to 120 matches the Rfam family "5.8S ribosomal RNA", at positions 35 to 154 of the family's 154-position model. The record is from RNAcentral.